This 440-nucleotide ribosomal RNA is filed under the name uncultured Parabacteroides sp. RNAcentral's name for it is "partial 16S ribosomal RNA". It matches the Rfam family "Bacterial small subunit ribosomal RNA", at positions 341 to 778 of the family's 1533-position model. The record is from RNAcentral. Lineage: Bacteria; Pseudomonadati; Bacteroidota; Bacteroidia; Bacteroidales; Tannerellaceae.
ACGGAAGGCAGCAGUGUGGAAUAUUGGUCAAUGGAGGCAACUCUGAACCAGCCAUCUCGCGUGAAGGAAUACGGCCCUAUGGGUCUUAAACUUCUUUUAUAGGGGGGUAAAGUGAGGCAUGCAUGCCUUUUUGUAGGUACCCUAUGAAUAAGCAUCGGCUAACUCCGUGCCAGCAGCCGCGGUAAUACGGAGGAUGCGAGCGUUAUCCGGAUUUAUUGGGUUUAAAGGGUGCGCAGGCGGCACGUUAAGUCAGCGGUGAAAUGCAGGGGCUCAACCCCGGCACUGCCGUUGAAACUGGCGAGCUCGAGUACGGAUGAAGUUGGCGGAAUGUGAUGUGUAGCGGUGAAAUGCUUAGAUAUGUCACAGAACACCGAUUGCGAAGGCAGCUGUCCAGAGAUCUUCUGACGCUCAGGCACGAAAGCAUGGGUAUCAAACAGGAU